Molecule: unclassified non-coding RNA, 876 nt
Filed under: Hevea brasiliensis (rubber tree)
Lineage: Eukaryota; Viridiplantae; Streptophyta; Magnoliopsida; Malpighiales; Euphorbiaceae
Source: RNAcentral
GUCUUAGGGCUAUAUGAUAAUACGAAUUCUUCGAAGUGAGUUGUGGAACGCCCAAUUGAUCUUUGAUCUUUUCAUCUGAAAACUCUUUGCUUCUCAUCAGCGGUAGACGGAAAAAUGGCCGGCGGAGGAGACCACUCUCAUGGUGGAGAUUUCAGGACUAAGGUCUGGAGUAUGAGUGGUGGGCCGUACUGUAGGCCCGUACAUUGGAAGCGCAAUACCGCAAUUGCCCUCGCCGGAAUCGUACUCGUUUGCAUUCCUGUCGCCUUGAAAUCUGCCGAGCUCGAGCAAAGGCCACAUCUUCCAGUCCGCCCCAUUCCUUCUCAGCUAUGGUGCAAGAACUUUGGAACAAAAGACUACUAGUUUUGUUAGUGAAGCAACGAUAGUAGCUUGCUGUGGGGAAGAUGAUCGCCUUGCCUUCUGUAUUUGGAUUCUGAACUGCAUUUCAUGGUUACUUUUUAUUUGAAAUAGCGUGACCUAUAAUGACAAUGUUCCAUUGAAUAAACAUGACACCGCGUGCUCUUUUUACAACUGAUUAAAGCAUGUCAACAAACUUUCAUGAUGGUCUUCUUUGAAGUAUUGUUCGUCUUGCUCAUCCACCAUGUACCACUGCGCUUUCUAUCAAAGUAGAUCCAGAAGAAGCUAAAUAAGUGAAUUCUUAUAUUUGCCUUACAUUUGGUGUGUAUAAUGCAGGUAUUGGUGAGUGAUUUUACAAUUAUAAUCUCUCUUCUUACUAGCUCGACUAGUUGAGCUCAAAUGCCAAUAGCAAGUCUAAGUAUAGUUUAUCUACAACUCAUCCUCAAGUAGAUCAAUGAAUGUACGAAUUUUUGUAAAACCUAGUUGAGUAAAAUUCUUUAAAUCAUUAAAAUAAGGGGUAUU